AGCUCCAAAAGCGUAUAUUAAAAUUGUUGCGGUUAAAACGCUCGUAGUUGGGUUUUUGCUGGGCGGGUCGCGUCCAUCCAAGCGAUGUUCGUACGCUACCCCCCGGCAUUUUUCUGGGGAGGGCUCUUGUGCUUUACUGUACAGUGUCUGAUCCAGAGCGAUUACUUUGAGAAAACGAGAGUGUUCCAGGCGGGCGAUUGGCCAGAAUACAUUAGCAUGGAAUAAUAGCAUAGGACUUCAUUCUGAAGCUGUUGGUUUAAUGGAAUGGAGGAACGCGAAUAGGGAUAGUUGGGGGCAUUCGUAUUUAACUGUCAGAGGUGAAAUUCUUGGAUUUUUUAAAGUACGAACUAGUG
This 353-nucleotide ribosomal RNA is filed under the name uncultured eukaryote. RNAcentral describes it as "SSU rRNA". It matches the Rfam family "Eukaryotic small subunit ribosomal RNA", at positions 587 to 945 of the family's 1831-position model. The record is from RNAcentral.